This is a microRNA precursor of Ochotona princeps (American pika), 88 nucleotides long. Lineage: Eukaryota; Metazoa; Chordata; Mammalia; Lagomorpha; Ochotonidae. The record is from Ensembl.
GUGUGUGUAUGUGUGUGUGUGUGAGAGAGAGAGAGAGAUAGACACACACAUACACACACACACACACACACACACACACACACACACA